UCGUGAUAAAAAACCUCCUGCCUACACUUUUUAACAUCGCGCCUAAUUUUCUUUUUUGCGACGGCAUUGCACCGUGGUAAAAAAUAAAAAAUAAAAACCAAUCCCACCGCCCGCGCUCAACUCUCAGUUUCCCCUCUCCUACCGCAGUCUCCUCUUCUCCUCUCCAAACCCUACUGCGCCUCCUCCCCCUCUUCCGCUCCAAACCUCGGCGUGCUCCCCGAUCUCUCCAUCGUGCCGCUCCAAACCUCGGCGUGCCCCCCAAUCUCUCCAUCGUGCCCCUCCCCACGGCGUGGCCCCCAAUCU
Molecule: long non-coding RNA, 303 nt
Filed under: Elaeis guineensis (African oil palm)
Lineage: Eukaryota; Viridiplantae; Streptophyta; Magnoliopsida; Arecales; Arecaceae
Description: long non-coding RNA (EGUI_LNC007593)
Source: RNAcentral